GACGAACGCUGGCGGCGUGCUUAACACAUGCAAGUCGAGCGGUAAGGCCCUUUCGGGGGUACGACGAGCGGCGAACGGGUAGAGUAACACGUGGGUGACCUGCCCUCAGCUCUGGGAUAAGCCUGGGAAACCGGGUCUAAUACUGGAUAUGACUCCAUGACGCAUGUUGGUGGGGUGGAAAGCCUUGUGCGGCUGAGGAUGGGCCCGCGGCCUAUCAGCUUGUUGGUGGGGUGAGGCCUACCAAGGCGACGACGGGUAGCCGGCCUGAGAGGG
Molecule: ribosomal RNA, 273 nt
Filed under: uncultured bacterium
Lineage: Bacteria
Description: partial 16S ribosomal RNA
Rfam family: Bacterial small subunit ribosomal RNA
Source: RNAcentral